AAGUCGUAACAAGGUUUCCGUAGGUGAACCGCGGAAGGAUCAUUAACCCGUAUCCAAACGUUAACCGCCCUGUGAACAGUUCAAUGUGCUCGUACGCUUUGUCAGAACGAGGCAAUCCCUGGUAAAUCAUCGCCGAACAGUUUUGAUUCUGGGACUUCUCAAUGUGCAUGUUGCGAGGCAAGUGGCCUGACAUUCCCAAGCAGUUAGUGUCUGAAACAGUCACGAUCGGUGGUACACACAGUCACCGACACGGCCGACGGUCACUGGACGAAAGCUCCUUUAUCACCCUUUAUGCAUGUCAGAGGUCAGCCUUAAUUGUGCGGCACAACAAACCGAACCUUUAUCACCCUUUAUGCAUGUCAGAGGGCCUUAAUUGUGCGGCACAAAAAACCGAACAACUGUUAACAAUGGAUAUCUUGGUUCUC
Molecule: unclassified non-coding RNA, 425 nt
Filed under: fungal sp.
Lineage: Eukaryota; Fungi
Description: partial internal transcribed spacer region
Source: RNAcentral